This 468-nucleotide ribosomal RNA is filed under the name uncultured bacterium. Its description in RNAcentral is "partial 16S ribosomal RNA". It matches the Rfam family "Bacterial small subunit ribosomal RNA", at positions 28 to 507 of the family's 1533-position model. The record is from RNAcentral.
GACGAACGCUGGCGGCGUGCUUAACACAUGCAAGUCGAACGGAAAGGCCCUGCUUUUGUGGGGAGCUCGAGUGGCGAACGGGUGAGUAACACGUGAGUAACCUGCCCUCGACUUUGGGAUAACUUAAGGAAACUGGGGCUAAUACCGGAUAGGAGCUCCUGCUGCAUGGUGGGGGUUGGAAAGUUUCGGCGGUUGGGGAUGGACUCGCGGCUUAUCAGCUUGUUGGUGGGGUAGUGGCUUACCAAGGCUUUGACGGGUAGCCGGCCUGAGAGGGUGACCGGCCACAUUGGGACUGGGAUACGGCCCAGACUCCUACGGGAGGCAGCAGUGGGGAAUAUGGCACAAUGGGCGGAAGCCUGAUGCAGCAACGCCGCGUGCUGGAUGACGGCCUUCGGUUUGUAAACCGCUUUCGCCUGUGACGAAGCGUGAGUGACGGUAAUGGGUAAAGAAGCACCGGCUAACUACGUG